Molecule: long non-coding RNA, 350 nt
Filed under: Lathyrus oleraceus (garden pea)
Lineage: Eukaryota; Viridiplantae; Streptophyta; Magnoliopsida; Fabales; Fabaceae
Description: Pisum sativum (pea) long non-coding RNA (PSAT_LNC005157)
Source: RNAcentral
UUUCAUAUAGUUUUUAUCUAGUGUAGUGGUACUAAAGUAUUUUUUUAUUUUGUAUGCGAGGUAAAGAAAGACAUGUAUGAUGAAGUGUAAUGUUUAUCUUAAUCUAUUAGCAAAACUCCAUGUUUUGUCAAAAUAGUUGGAUGCCUAAACUCUAGCUCAAGCAAAUGCUAAUCAAGUCACAGUAUUCCGGUAUGAUUACUGUGGUGGAGAUCAUGCAAAUAUCCAUUGUGUACAAGCCAGAUACCUUGGAAAAAUGUAUUAUGCUAGAAGUUAUCAAAAGCUAGAUCCUUACUUCGAUAACAAUAAUCCAUGGUGGGAUGAUCAUUCAAAUCUUGGCUUGAGUAACACUA